GACAGAGGGUGCAAACGUUGUUCGGAAUUACUGGGCGUAAAGGGCUCGUAGGUGGCCAACUAAGUCAGACGUGAAAUCCCUCGGCUUAACCGGGGAACUGCGUCUGAUACUGGAUGGCUUGAGUUUGGGAGAGGGAUGCGGAAUUCCAGGUGUAGCGGUGAAAUGCGUAGAUAUCUGGAGGAACACCGGUGGCGAAGGCGGCAUCCUGGACCAACACUGACACUGAGGAGCGAAAGCGUGGGUAGCAAACAGG
Molecule: ribosomal RNA, 253 nt
Filed under: uncultured bacterium
Lineage: Bacteria
Description: partial 16S ribosomal RNA
Rfam family: Bacterial small subunit ribosomal RNA
Source: RNAcentral